RNAcentral lists this long non-coding RNA (370 nucleotides) under Gallus gallus (chicken). RNAcentral's name for it is "lncRNA (ENSGALG00010003940.1)". Lineage: Eukaryota; Metazoa; Chordata; Aves; Galliformes; Phasianidae. The record is from RNAcentral.
UGAGCGUGUGAUUUACAUAACAGGGCACUGAGGCAUAGAAAGCGUGCUCUUCCAUCUACACCUCUGGUAUGGUGUGAGACAGGUCAGCACUUUGGUACUGCUGACUGAAGCUUCCAAAAGCAGAAAUAGUCUACAUCCCAAAGAGGACAUGAACACUGAAGACUUCCAGUUACAACAAGCUGAAACCAAAACAAUCAGCUUUCUUGCAUGGCACACUGAGAGACUGUUGGACCAUUGGUAGCAUUUCAUGUUCUGCAACACAGAUAAUUACAAAUCUCAGUAAUCAGUGAUUAUCAACAAAGUAUAUAGAUACAGAUUCUAUAUCUGUGGAUAUAGAAUGGAAUAAUUCAGCCUGGAAACAUCAGCAGGG